GACGAACGCUGGCGGCGUGCUUAACACAUGCAAGUCGAACGGAAAGGCCCUGCUUUUGUGGGGUGCUCGAGUGGCGAACGGGUGAGUAACACGUGAGUAACCUGCCCUUGACUUUGGGAUAACUUCAGGAAACUGGGGCUAAUACCGGAUAGGAGCUCCUGCUGCAUGUUGGUGGUUGGAAAGUUUCGGCGGUUGGGGAUGGACUCGCGGCUUAUCAGCUUGUUGGUGGGGUAGUGGCUUACCAAGGCUUUGACGGGUAGCCGGCCUGAGAGGGGUGCCGGCCACAUUGGGACUGAGAUACGGACCAGACGCGUACGGGAGGCAGCAGUGGGGAAUAUUACGGAAUGGGCGGAAGCGUGAUGCAGAAACGUCGCGUGCGGGAUGACGGCUUACGGGUUGUAAACAGCUUUCGACUGUGACGAAGCGUGAGUGACGGUAAUGGGUCAAAAAGCACCGGCUAACUACGUG
RNAcentral lists this ribosomal RNA (468 nucleotides) under uncultured bacterium. RNAcentral describes it as "partial 16S ribosomal RNA". It matches the Rfam family "Bacterial small subunit ribosomal RNA", at positions 28 to 507 of the family's 1533-position model. The record is from RNAcentral.